RNAcentral lists this ribosomal RNA (292 nucleotides) under uncultured bacterium. RNAcentral describes it as "partial 16S ribosomal RNA". It matches the Rfam family "Bacterial small subunit ribosomal RNA", at positions 505 to 796 of the family's 1533-position model. The record is from RNAcentral.
GUGUCAGCAGCCGCGGUAAGACAGAGGGUGCAAACGUUGUUCGGAAUUACUGGGCGUAAAGCGUGUGUAGGCGGCUGCGCAAGUCGGAUGUGAAAGCCCCGGGCUCAACCCGGGAAGUGCACCCGAAACUGCGUAGCUUGAGUACCGGAGAGGUUGGUGGAAUUCUCGGUGUAGAGGUGAAAUUCGUAGAUAUCGAGAGGAACACCGGUGGCGAAGGCGGCCAACUGGACGAGUACUGACGCUGAGACACGAAAGCGUGGGGAGCAAACAGGAUUAGAUACCCUGGUAGUCC